Molecule: ribosomal RNA, 775 nt
Filed under: uncultured Neocallimastigales
Lineage: Eukaryota; Fungi; Neocallimastigomycota; Neocallimastigomycetes; Neocallimastigales
Description: partial large subunit ribosomal RNA
Rfam family: Eukaryotic large subunit ribosomal RNA
Source: RNAcentral
UAUCAGUCAUGCAUAGCAUAUCAAUAAGCGGAGGAAAAGAAACUAACAAGGAUUCCCUUAGUAACGGCGAGUGAAGGCGGGAAGAGCUCAAAUUUGAAAUCUUCAAGGUUUUACCUUGACGAAUUGUAGUUUAAAGAAGUGUUUUCUGUUGAAGUUUUGGUAAAAGUUCUUUGGAAUAGGACAUCAUAGAGGGUGAGAAUCCCGUAUUUGACCAUUACUUUCAGCUUUGUGAUACACUUUCAAAGAGUCGGAUUGUUUGGGAAUGCAGUCCAAAAUGGGUGGUAAAUUUCAUCUAAAGCUAAAUAUUGGCGAGAGACCGAUAGCGAACAAGUACCGUGAGGGAAAGAUGAAAAGAACUUUGAAAAGAGAGUUAAACAGUACGUGAAAUUGUCAAAAGGGAGGCGUUUGACACCAGUGUUGUUUUCUCGAAAAUCAAUUAAAAAGAGUUGGAUUUUGUGUUGUAUUGACUUUAUCAGGCUUUCUUCACUCUUUUCCAGCUUUUUUUAAUGCACUUUUCGUUUAACAAGUCAACAUCGGUUUCUUUUGUUGUAAAAAGGUCAUUGGAAGGUGGCUUUCUCUUCGGAGAAAGUGUUUAUAGCCUUUGACUCAUGCAAUCGGAGAGACUGAGGUCUGCAGCGUAGAUCCUUCGGGGUUAGAUACAUUUGUGCUAAGUUAUAGCUUUUCAUAGACAACUUGUUGACUAUGUUUAGUCUUGUAGCUUACUCGCUUAUGCUAUUUUACCUACGCUUAGGAUGUUGAACUCUAUCACACACAG